AAUGGCUAAGCGGCGGUGGAAGUGCAGGCUGCACAAUCAAUAGGCAGAGAGCCGGAUAGAGGCUCCCUUCGCUGCCGGAUCGACAAUCGACAGCUGAGAGACUAUUUUUUGCAAUGGUUGACUAAAUAUGGUCAGGGAAGAGAGAGGCACAAGAGAGCCUGUUUGCCUGGGAGUGCAUGUUUCAAAUGCUUAGCUGCCUAUAAAGCCGUAACAGUUUUGCUCGUGCCCUCUAAGUGGGAAAUACGGUUGGUGACUUCUGUAGUGUGUGUGCGGGAGCCCUGACCUCGCGAGCAGACUUGACCUCUGAAGAUGGAAAGUAGCUUCAACACAGACCUGCCUACAGUUAAGCCUGGAAACAUAACCUCAAGCAAGAAAAGAUGCAGUGCAAUAUCUAAGGAACUAGAAGAAACCAAUAUUUGCCGGGGGAGGGGGGAGACGAUCGCUCUUUUUUUGGUGCUUUUUUUCUAAUUUUUUUUUUUGGAAGCAACUCCAACUUUAUGGGGCUUGGUUUUGGUCUUUUGUUGGGUUUUUAUUUUUCUUUUUGCCUGUGAUUAUCUUCAUCUGACAGUGGGCUAAGUUCACCUUCCCUUGGCUUCCUAGCAUCUAUCCUUGGAGUCUUAACUCUCAGUCCAGCAGACAUAAGUUUUAUCUAUUUAAGGUGGUGAGGUACUGUAUGCACCGACACUCGCCCCCCCUUGCCUCCCCCUCCCAUGUAACGAAGAGCUGAUUCAGCGAAUAGAGUGAGAGCACUCAGGAUGAGAUGGCUGCUGCUGAUGUGUCUCUAGGUCAUUACCUCUCUUCCAACUGCAAAUGCUGCAUGAUACUAAGCUUACAGGACACUAGAUGCAAACUGUACCCCAGCACGAAAAUCUUCUAAAAGACCUUCGAGGAAGCUGAAGUUUUUACAGUGGACUACAACUACGAAUUCUAAGAAAAGACAUUGCAAACCUACCAGUGAUUCAACUCUCUACUUAAACACUGUUACUUAGAAGAGCAAGAGGCUGCAAAAAUAUGGAAAAGCACUUCUAACAUCAGUGCCGUCCCAAAACAAUGAACUAUGCCCGGCUUUAAGACAUUGUGCAGAACUUGUCUCUCUGAGGACCUACAUGACAACACAGCAAGUGAGUCCUGCAGACACUUCCCGAAGACACUCAUUAACACCGGGUAGAAGUGAGAAACCCCACCUCUCAAUUAAAUUGCUACAGUUAGAAAUUUCACUGCCAACCCGUUCAAGCCAUCUGCAAAUCUAAAAACAAAUGGAGACCAGUUUAUGAACACAGAGAUGACACACUUCCUGCUACUGGAGAGCAAUACAUAAAAUCUGUAUCUUACUCCAGGACUUUAAUCUUUUGAUUUAAAGUCCAGCAGAAUGUAUUGCUCUGAAGAACUAACCAUACACGUGUGUGAAGUCAGGUCAGCUCCAAGAGCAGCCUCUAUUUAGGAUGAUAGCUGCAGAGUGAAUAAAGCUCUCUUCACAAGAUACAAUGCAAAUGUAAAACUAACUGGGGCAACGGAUAUAAAAUACGCCUACACUUCACAGUCAUGUCUUCAGCUCAAAAAUCUGAAGUCACAGGUAUGCGAAUAGAUCAAACAUAAGCAAGAGAUGAUAACAUGGCAAAAAUAACCAAUCUGUACAGUAUUUUCAAUUUUUACUCUCCUUUUUUCUGUCUGAAAAAAAAUCUCAUUAACACUGAAGAGGCAAAGUCUGCCAAGCUUUGAGGCUCACAGUACUUUGAAAAAAGUCCAAAAUAAAUUCACUUUUAAUAUGACUGACUCAGUUAAAAAUCACGAACAAGAAAACCAUGUAUUAAAUGAAAGUUUGACUUCUCCACACUUAAUUUAAAAUUUCUUUUUAGCUCUAUCUCCCAUGCACAAGUUUAAAGCAACCUACAGCAUAAACUAACAUCCAUUCUACAUUUCAACAUUAUACAUCAGCACAAAAACCAAAAGUUCUCUUCCUGUACCAAUUCACAAGGUACAAAGAGAGGCAAAACAAGAAAAGGAGAAACAUUCUACUAAGAAUAGGAUGCUGUCUGAAACACACUGUACUUUGACUUGUGGAAAACACAGCCAAACUGCCAUGGAAGAUAAAGUGCUGAGAAAAUCUAGGCUAUUUGACAGAAAUUGCUAUCUUUUUUAUAAUAUUUA
This is a long non-coding RNA of Oenanthe melanoleuca, 2148 nucleotides long. RefSeq lists it as uncharacterized. NCBI's taxonomy places the organism in Eukaryota, Metazoa, Chordata, Aves, Passeriformes, Muscicapidae. The transcript has 4 exons. The record is from RefSeq and is a predicted model, not a curated record.